AACGCAUAUGGCACCUCCCGGCCCUGCCGGAGGGUAUGCCUGUUUGAGAAUCAUACCACCGUGCCCAUCACCUGGUGGGCGACCUGGGCGUUCAGCAGUGAUCGCCUCCAAUUGAAUGGCGUUGCCAGGAUAUCGCUCGAUGUUUGGCAAUUGCAACCCCUCCUCGUGAUCUUAAAUCAGGCAAGGCUACCCGCUGAACUUAA
RNAcentral lists this unclassified non-coding RNA (203 nucleotides) under uncultured fungus. RNAcentral describes it as "partial contains internal transcribed spacer 2 and large subunit ribosomal RNA". Lineage: Eukaryota; Fungi. The record is from RNAcentral.